This 440-nucleotide ribosomal RNA is filed under the name uncultured bacterium. RNAcentral's name for it is "bacterial SSU rRNA". It matches the Rfam family "Bacterial small subunit ribosomal RNA", at positions 338 to 780 of the family's 1533-position model. The record is from RNAcentral.
CCUACGGGUGGCUGCAGUCGAGAAUCUUCGGCAAUGAGCGCAAGCUUGACCGAGCGACGCCGCGUGCGGGAUGAAGGCCUUCGGGUUGUAAACCGCGAAAGUGAGGAGGAAGGCUCUGCGAAGAGCAGGGUUUGACCUAUUCACAGUAAGGACGGGCUAAGUUCGUGCCAGCAGCCGCGGUAAUACGAACCGUCCAAACGUUAUUCGGAAUCACUGGGCUUAAAGGGUACGUAGGCGGCGCUGUUAGUCGGGUGUGAAAUCCCUCGGCUCAACCGAGGAAUUGCGCCCGAUACUGCAGUGCUUGAGGGAGACAGAGGUAAGCGGAACUGAUGGUGGAGCGGUGAAAUGCGUUGAUAUCAUCAGGAACACCGGUGGCGAAAGCGGCUUACUGGGUCUCUUCUGACGCUGAGGUACGAAAGCUAGGGGAGCGAAGGGGAUUA